Long non-coding RNA from Physeter macrocephalus (sperm whale), 513 nucleotides. RefSeq lists it as uncharacterized. The transcript has 3 exons. The record is from RefSeq and is a predicted model, not a curated record. Lineage: Eukaryota; Metazoa; Chordata; Mammalia; Artiodactyla; Physeteridae.
GGAAACUGAAGCAUAGAUGGGGUAUAUAAUUUGCCCAAGAUCACACAACUAGGAAGAGAGAGCUAGGAUUUGAACCCUGGCAGUCUGGCUCAGUUCCAUAUAUCCAGCUCUUACACAUCACUGCCUUUCAACCUUCCCAAGCCUAAGUCUCCUCUGGAAAACCUCAAUAAUCACACAACAGUACCUCCACAGUACCUACUUCAGAGCACAGUUGAGGGGAUUAAAGAGUUACAAUGAGGGAGAAGAUGUCAAAAUGAAUCAAAGCUAUAAACUGAAGGAUAAAAAGUCUGGGAGAAUUCUGUCCCUCAGUGGGGAGCAGAUUGACUGGGGGAAUUUAUCCUCUCUACCCUCCCACACACAACUGACACAUUAUCAUAAAAGGCACUGCAAGGGACUUCAGAGUCCAAUUUGCAUAACAGGUAGUAGUUUGUUGGCAGAUAACCGAACUUCAAGAUGCCUGGCUUAGAGUUCCAGUUUAUUCUUUCUGUGCUUUCAAUGGAUUCCACUGUUCUG